AACUCUGCACGUGCUUCCUCAGUGUCACCACAAGUACAUCUGCAGCACAUCCUGGGAGGCCACAUUUGGUGGUCGAAGAAGAUAAAUCUAGACGUCAUUGGACCCGGAGGAAUUAAAGAUUUUACUGAGCAAACAAGUCACUGGCCGCUCAAGGAGAUUUGCCAGAGGGACUGUGCGACAGAUACACGGUCAAGGCAGAAAUGGAGUAAAACUGAGAAAAAACAAAGGCGGGAGCAGAUGGGCCUUCAUCUGGCUGAGCGCAGCUGCUGCUACAUUCUUA
Molecule: long non-coding RNA, 280 nt
Organism: Cygnus atratus (black swan)
Lineage: Eukaryota; Metazoa; Chordata; Aves; Anseriformes; Anatidae
Exons: 3
Source: RefSeq, a predicted model, not a curated record